UACAGGGGGGGCAAGCGUUGUUCGGAAUUACUGGGCGUAAAGGGUCUGUAGGUGGCCAACUAAGUCAUACGUGAAAUCCCUCGGCUUAACCGGGGAACUGCGUCUGAUACUGGAUGGCUUGAGUUCGGGAGAGGGAUGCGGAAUUCCAGGUGUAGCGGUGAAAUGCGUAGAUAUCUGGAGGAACACCGGUGGCGAAGGCGGCAUCCUGGACCGAUACUGACGCUGAGGAGCGAAAGCCAGGGGAGCAAACGGG
This 253-nucleotide ribosomal RNA is filed under the name uncultured bacterium. Its description in RNAcentral is "partial 16S ribosomal RNA". It matches the Rfam family "Bacterial small subunit ribosomal RNA", at positions 524 to 776 of the family's 1533-position model. The record is from RNAcentral.